AUCGCUUCUCAGCUUUUUGGCUAAGAUCAAGUGUAGUAUCUGUUCUUAUCAGAAAUAAGUUAAAAAUAAAACCUGGGGAUAAAUGCAAAGGCAACUCAAAGAAUAGUAGAAACCUUU
This is a small nuclear RNA of Oryctolagus cuniculus (rabbit), 117 nucleotides long. Its record names the gene U2. It matches the Rfam family "U2 spliceosomal RNA". Rfam says of the family: U2 is a small nuclear RNA (snRNA) component of the spliceosome (involved in pre-mRNA splicing). Complementary binding between U2 snRNA (in an area lying towards the 5' end but 3' to hairpin I) and the branchpoint sequence (BPS) of the intron results the bulging out of an unpaired adenosine, on the BPS, which initiates a nucleophilic attack at the intronic 5' splice site, thus starting the first of two transesterification reactions that mediate splicing. The record is from Ensembl. NCBI's taxonomy places the organism in Eukaryota, Metazoa, Chordata, Mammalia, Lagomorpha, Leporidae.